CUUGCUCUAACGGGGUGCCAGCGGGUUUUUUUGAUCCACUGGCUGAGAGGCGGUCUCGCCAACCCGAAGAACCUGAUCCGGCUCGUACCGGCGGAGGGAUUAGACGGCACAUCCUG
This 116-nucleotide non-coding RNA is filed under the name Shinella sp. RNAcentral describes it as "TPP sequence". It matches the Rfam family "TPP riboswitch aptamer (THI element)". Rfam says of the family: Vitamin B(1) in its active form thiamin pyrophosphate (TPP) is an essential coenzyme that is synthesised by coupling of pyrimidine and thiazole moieties in bacteria. The record is from RNAcentral. Lineage: Bacteria; Pseudomonadati; Pseudomonadota; Alphaproteobacteria; Hyphomicrobiales; Rhizobiaceae.